RNAcentral lists this ribosomal RNA (332 nucleotides) under uncultured bacterium. RNAcentral describes it as "bacterial SSU rRNA". It matches the Rfam family "Bacterial small subunit ribosomal RNA", at positions 568 to 898 of the family's 1533-position model. The record is from RNAcentral.
CGCGUAGGCGGUGCCACAAGUCACCUGUGAAAUCUCCGGGCUUAACUCGGAGCCUGCAGGCGAAACUGUGGUGCUGGAGUAUGGGAGAGGUGCGUGGAAUUCCCGGUGUAGCGGUGAAAUGCGUAGAUAUCGGGAGGGACACCUGUGGCGAAAGCGGCGCACUGGACCAUAACUGACGCUGAGGCGCGAAAGCUAGGGGAGCAAACAGGAUUAGAUACCCUGGUAGUCCUAGCCCUAAACGAUGGAUGCUUGGUGUAGCAGGUACCCAAUCCUGCUGUGCCGCAGCUAACGCGUUAAGCAUCCCGCCUGGGGAGUACGGUCGCAAGGCUGAA